This 386-nucleotide ribosomal RNA is filed under the name uncultured soil bacterium. RNAcentral's name for it is "bacterial SSU rRNA". It matches the Rfam family "Bacterial small subunit ribosomal RNA", at positions 26 to 415 of the family's 1533-position model. The record is from RNAcentral.
AGAUUGAACGCUGGCGGAAUGCUUUACACAUGCAAGUCGAACGGCAGCACGGGGGCAACCCUGGUGGCGAGUGGCGCACGGGUGAGUAAUACAUCGGAACGUAUCCUAGAGUGGGGGAUAGCCCGGCGAAAGCCGGAUUAAUACCGCAUACGCUCGAAAGAGGAAAGUGGGGGAUCGUAAGACCUCACGCCCAAGGAGCGGCCGAUGCCGGAUUAGCUUGUUGGUGAGGUAAAAGCUCACCAAGGCGACGAUCCGUAGCUGGUCUGAGAGGACGACCAGCCACACUGGGACUGAGACACGGCCCAGACUCCUACGGGAGGCAGCAGUGGGGAAUUUGGACAAUGGGGGAAACCCUGAUCCAGCCAUUCCGCGUGAGUGAAGAGGCC